Molecule: ribosomal RNA, 467 nt
Filed under: uncultured bacterium
Lineage: Bacteria
Description: partial 16S ribosomal RNA
Rfam family: Bacterial small subunit ribosomal RNA
Source: RNAcentral
GACGAACGCUGGCGGCGUGCUUAACACAUGCAAGUCGAACGAUGAUCAGGAGCUUGCUCCUGUGAUUAGUGGCGAACGGGUGAGUAACACGUGAGUAACCUGCCCCUGACUCUGGGAUAAGCGUUGGAAACGACGUCUAAUACUGGAUAUGAUCACUGGCCGCAUGGUCUGGUGGUGGAAAGAUUUUUUGGUUGGGGAUGGACUCGCGGCCUAUCAGCUUGUUGGUGAGGUAAUGGCUCACCAAGGCGACGACGGGUAGCCGGCCUGAGAGGGUGACCGGCCACACUGGGACUGAGACACGGCCCAGACUCCUACGGGAGGCAGCAGUGGGGAAUAUUGCACAAUGGGCGAAAGCCUGAUGCAGCAACGCCGCGUGAGGGAUGACGGCCUUCGGGUUGUAAACCUCUUUUAGUAGGGAAGAAGCGAAAGUGAUGGUACCUGCAGAAAAAGCACCGGCUAACUACGUG